ACUCGAGUGGCGAACGGGUGAGUAACACGUGGGUGAUCUGCCCUGCACUUCGGGAUAAGCCUGGGAAACUGGGUCUAAUACCGGAUAGGAGCCAUUUUUAGUGUGAUGGUUGGAAAGUUUUUCGGUGUAGGAUGAGCUCGCGGCCUAUCAGCUUGUUGGUGGGGUAAUGGCCUACCAAGGCGGCGACGGGUAGCCGGCCUGAGAGGGUGGACGGCCACGUUGGGACUGAGAUACGGCCCAG
Molecule: ribosomal RNA, 241 nt
Filed under: uncultured Actinomycetales bacterium
Lineage: Bacteria; Bacillati; Actinomycetota; Actinomycetes; Actinomycetales
Description: partial 16S ribosomal RNA
Rfam family: Bacterial small subunit ribosomal RNA
Source: RNAcentral